This 376-nucleotide ribosomal RNA is filed under the name uncultured organism. RNAcentral describes it as "partial 16S ribosomal RNA". It matches the Rfam family "Bacterial small subunit ribosomal RNA", at positions 523 to 896 of the family's 1533-position model. The record is from RNAcentral.
CGGGGGGGGGGGCAAGCGUUGUUCGGAAUUACUGGGCGUAAAGGGCGCGUAGGCGGACGAGACAGUCUUUCGUGAAAUCCCACGGGCUCAACCGUGGAACUGCGGGAGAUACUACUCGUCUUGAGUUCGGGAGAGGAGUGUGGAAUUCCCAGUGUAGCGGUGAAAUGCGUAGAUAUUGGGAGGAACACCGGUGGCGAAGGCGGCACUCUGGACCGAUACUGACGCUGAGGCGCGGAAGCUAGGGGAGCAAACGGGAUUAGAUACCCCGGUAGUCCUAGCUGUAAACGAUGAGCACUUGGUGUAGCGGGUAUCGACCCCUGCUGUGCCGGAGUUAACGCAUUAAGUGCUCCGCCUGGGGAGUACGGUCGCAAGGCUG